RNAcentral lists this ribosomal RNA (442 nucleotides) under uncultured bacterium. RNAcentral's name for it is "partial 16S ribosomal RNA". It matches the Rfam family "Bacterial small subunit ribosomal RNA", at positions 338 to 795 of the family's 1533-position model. The record is from RNAcentral.
CCUACGGGCGGCAGCAGUAGGGAAUCUUUCACAAUGGGCGAAAGCCUGAUGGAGCAAAGCCGCGUGCAGGAUGAAGGCCUUCGGGUUGUAAACUGCUUUUAUAAGCGAGAAAUAUGAUGGUAACUUAUGAAUAAGGAUCGGCUAACUACGUGCCAGCAGCCGCGGUCAUACGUAGGAUCCGAGCAUUAUCCGGAGUGACUGGGUGUAAAGAGUUGCGUAGGUGGCAUAAUAAGUAGCUAGUGAAAUCUGGUGGCUCAACCAUUCAGACUAUUAGCUAAACUGUUAAGCUCGAGACCGUUAGGGGUAACUGGAAUUUCUAGUGUAGGAGUGAAAUCCGUAGAUAUUAGAAGGAACACCAAUAGCGUAGGCAGGUUGCUGGGACGGUUCUGACACUAAGGCACGAAAGCGUAGGGAGCAAACGGGAUUAGAUACCCCUGUAGUC